This 301-nucleotide ribosomal RNA is filed under the name uncultured bacterium. RNAcentral describes it as "partial 16S ribosomal RNA". It matches the Rfam family "Bacterial small subunit ribosomal RNA", at positions 509 to 808 of the family's 1533-position model. The record is from RNAcentral.
CAGCCGCCACGGUAAUACGUAGGGUGCGAGCGUUAAUCGGAAUUACUGGGCGUAAAGCGUGCGCAGGCGGUUAUAUAAGACAGAUGUGAAAUCCCCGGGCUCAACCUGGACCUGCAUUUGUGACUGUAUAGCUAGAGUACGGUAGAGGGGGAUGGAAUUCCGCGUGUAGCAGUGAAAUGCGUAGAUAUGCGGAGGAACACCGAUGGCGAAGGCAAUCCCCUGGACCUGUACUGACGCUGAUGCACGAAAGCUAGGGGAGCAAACAGGAUUAGAUACCCCCGUAGUCCCUGUCUCUUAUACA